Molecule: long non-coding RNA, 634 nt
Organism: Hipposideros armiger (great roundleaf bat)
Lineage: Eukaryota; Metazoa; Chordata; Mammalia; Chiroptera; Hipposideridae
Exons: 3
Source: RefSeq, a predicted model, not a curated record
CCGCGUGCGGGAGUUUGACAGAGGCAGCGAGGAGGUGGUGGGUUCCGCCAUCCCUGGCUCCGAGAAAGGCCAGAGCCAAGACGGAACUGAGCGGUCUAUGACCCACUGCGCUCCCUCUAAACCCCCAAACUAAUACCCUGCAUAUGCAGGACUGCCGUGAUACUAGGUCCUCAUCGCCUGCUUGUGGGUUCUCUCCUCUGAAAAGUCAGAGAACAAGGGUUGAGGGAGGCACGACCAUCCAGACAGUCGCUAAAGGAACAGAGACUCAAAGGCUCUACGUCAGAUUCCUGGGUCACAGAGAAAAAUAAGACCAGCCCCUUGAUCUCAAGUCCUGCCAAUCUAGAGUGGAGACCUCCAGGACAAGAGGGAACCGAGGCCCAGAGAAUUGGAAUGACCUUCCAGAUUUCACAAAGACCCAGCGCUGGACCAAUCCCCCAUCUGCCCAGGUGCAGGCCAGCACUUCUCUCAAAUACAGCCAUCUUUGGAGGUAAUCGGGGAAGGGGAGAAGCUGUAAGUGGGUGCAGCGUGCCUCUUUCCCUACUCCUUACCUUUGGCCCUAUUGAGUGGAUCUGGACUGUCCCCCACCCCCCUGCACGCUUCAUAGGGCGAUAUCACAGCAAUCAGGAAUCCUAAC